This is a long non-coding RNA of Acinonyx jubatus (cheetah), 3133 nucleotides long. RefSeq lists it as uncharacterized. NCBI's taxonomy places the organism in Eukaryota, Metazoa, Chordata, Mammalia, Carnivora, Felidae. The transcript is spliced from 4 exons. The record is from RefSeq and is a predicted model, not a curated record.
AAUCAAGGCAGGGGGCGGAGCCACCCGUAAGACAGGCGUUGCGGUGGGAAGGGAAAACCCAGCAGGCUCUGUUCGCGAGAUCUGGGCUCUAGGCUCACGGCAAGGAAACCAGGGCCCCCACUCCUGGUUGCAGCGUCCCUGCGUGCACCCGUUAGCAAAUAUUCCCGAAGAGGGGUUGGGGAGGUGACGGCUGCCUUGGGCGUGGGGAGAGUGAGCCCUGCGGUGUAAUGGAAAAAACGGAUUCUGGAGGUGGACUUACUGAGGCAAACAUGACUGUUCCCUGGGUUGCUCCUGAAGUCAGCCUUCUGGAAAGUUCCUCUGAGGAAGAAGUGAAUUGUUGAUCCACCCAAGUUUCCCAACCCCAGCUGCCAGGGACCUGGUGGUAAGUGGCCAAAGUCAGGCACUAGACCCCAACUCUUGUAUUCAAUGUAAAAUCUGGUCCAGUACCUGGCACGGAGAGCAGAUGUUGAGAAAGUAUGAACCAAUGGAAAGCAGAGCAAAUAAUCUGGUACACUGAAACCUAUACAGGAGGACCAACGUGCGUGCAUCAGACCCACCUUCAUCUUCAUCUUCAUCCUCCUCGUCUUCAUCUUCAUCAACUUCUCCAUCGUGUCCAAAUUCUUCUUCCUAAAGAACAGUAAAUAGCAACCACUAUUAGGUUGAUCUGCCAAGCUGAGAUGUACAAAGAGAAAAAUAACUUGCCAAUAAAUGUAAAAAUUCACCAAGGAGAAAACUUUAAUAUUAUCUUUAUCUACUUUAAUGUUCUGAGAUCUGUUCGUUUCUCUGAAUAAAUGAAUUAAAAUUUUCUUUAAAAACUGCUUUUCAGAAGUAAGCAUUUUAUUUGCCAGACAUGUUUAUUUAAUAUACUAUUAUAAUGGAUAAUUCGAGAAAUGAUUAAAAUUUUUUUGUUAUUUUUUUAAUGUUUAUUCAUUUUUUCCCCCCAAGAAACAGAGAGACAGCACGAGGAGGGGCACAGAGAGAGGGAGACACAGAAUCCAAAGCAGGCUGCGGGCUCAAACCCACGAACUGUGAGAUCAUGAUCUGAGCUGAAGUCGGAUGCUUAACCGACUGAGCUACAGAGGCGCCCCUAAAAAUUUUUAAUUUUAGAACAGGUUCAGACAAAACUCUCUGUAUUCCCAUCCUUAUAAAAACCUUUUAGGAACUUAAUUUCAUUAAAUACCUGUGAGAUUACAUAAAUGCUCAGCCUUACUUUUUUUGUACUACAAAGAACAUGCUUUUUGAUGACAUUUCAUUUUCUUUGCCUAUCUUCACGACCUCCCUGAGGUCUGUCAAAGUUAGGUCAAUCCUUUCUCCUGUCCUCCUUGGCAGUCAGCUCCUCAAAGAUACUAUAUUACUGGGUGUCCCAUAAACUAGACUACCUGCUCUUUCAAGGCAGGACCACAUUCUUGUUUAACUUUACAUCCCCAAAUCUUGAAAACGGCAAUCGUAGAACGUAUUUACUGAAUUAGGCUCAACAUACAAGAACAAGUUCGGACUUGGUAAACAUACCCUCCCGUCCCUUCUUCAACACAAUAGAAGGGACAGACCAUACAUCAGCUCUCAACAUUUCCAGUUUUCUCAUCCUAUGGAAUGAACACCCAACUCACUACUUCCUCCCAAUAAGUUAAAGGGUCAAGACUGAUAAAUCCAGAGCCAAGCAUUUCACUUAGUAUUUACUAAAAGGGGGGAACAGGAAUUAACCAUCAAACUGAUAAUGGUCUAUUUACAAGUUUACUAAUUGCAUUGGAAGUCCUUUUUCUUUCCUUUUUCUUAAAAACAAUACAAAAUAAAAUCACCCACAUUUUUAACUACAAAUAGGAAACAGAGCAGCAAACAUAGUUGCACCAACCUCCCCACUGACUUCGUCUUCAUCAUCUUCCCCUUCUACAUCUUCGUCUUCAUCUUCAUCAUCUUCAUCAUCAAAUUCUUCCUCCUCACCAUCCUCAUCCUCCUCGUCCUCCUCAUCUUCUCCUUCUGAAAACAGUCCAAAGGAAUUCAUUAAACACCCUUGAUGGCCCAUAAGGCACACCUGCUGAGGUGCUGGGGCACUUCAGGUUGAGCCACAGAACAAAUGCUGUGCUACACCAACGUCCAGGAAACCCAUGCCCCUUGGUCGCCCCCUUUCUCCCAGGCUGCUGCAACUCAGUCCCUUUGUCCAUCAUGAUGCCAUUACAUCUGGAGACCAGGAGUCCUGGUGGACUAGAUGUAUGCUACAACAGUCAGUGAUGAAAAUGAUAUUAUCUCUGGGAUUUGCUUCAAAAUAAGGAAGGGGAAGUGGGUAGGGAUGUGUAUGUAUAAAAUAAGAUCAGCCACAAAUCAGUGAUUGUUGAAGCUGAAUGAUGGGAACAUGAAAGUUCACCUUACUAUUAUUCCUAUCUUUGUCUAGGUCUGAAAUUUUCCAUAGUAAAAAGUUACCCCCCUCUCCCAAAAUAAAUAAAUAAUGAGCUCCUUCUCUGAGGGAAGGGCAUCACCAUAAAGCCAGCUGCCAGAUGAGGAAUCUAAGAGAGUAAUAACCCUGUGAGAGGAAGGAAAUAAGAGGCAGGCUGAGAGGUACCUGCACCCUCUGCGUCUCUACUCCAUUUGGCUCAGGCCUCUAGGCAACCAGUUCUUACCUCUCCUGGUCCUGAAGCUCGCUGUGCUGUCCUGCUUCCUAGUCUCUGCAUAUUCUUCCCUUUCUUCUCUGCUUGGCUAACACUGAUUCAAACACCUGGGUCUCAGUUAAACAUCACUUUUUUCUUAAUUGAUUUUUAAUGUUUAUUUCUUUUUGAGAGACAGCAUAUGGACAGGAGAGGGCCAGAAAGGGGGAGACAGGAUCCAAAGCAGGCUCUGAGCAGUGAGGACAGAGCCCAAUACGGGGCUUGAACACACAAACCAUGAGAUCACAAUGUGAGCGGAAAUCAACAGUUGGACGCUUGGGGAGCCUCAGAGGCUGAGUUGAUUAAGCAUCCGACUCUUGGUUUCAGUUCGGGUCACACAAUCUCAUAGUUCCUGAGUUUGAGUCCUGCAUCAGGCUCUGUGAUGACAGCACAGAGCCUACUUAGGAUUCUCUGUCUCCCUCUUUCUUUCUGCCCCUCCCUUGCUCGCUAUCUCUCUCAAAAAAAUAAACUUAAAAAAAGGAAAAAAAAAAAAAAAA